GCCCGCUCAGAAACUACAAAGGAAGUUGACGGGGGCCCGGCACAAGCGGUGGAGUAUGUGGUUUAAUUCGAUGCAACGCGAAGAACCUUACCUGGUCUUGACAUCCCGGAGACCCUUAGGAAACUAGGGGUGCUUCCAUCUGGAAGAAUCUGGAGACAGGUGCUGCAUGGCUGUCGUCAGCUCGUGUCGUGAGAUGUUGGGUUAAGUCCCGCAACGAGCGCAACCCUUGCCUUUAGUUGCCAGCAGUUCGGCUGGGCACUCUAAAGGGACUGCCGGUGUUAAACCGGAGGAAGGUGGGGAUGACGUCAAGUCCUCAUGGCCUUUAUGACCAGGGCUACACACGUACUACAAUGGCCGAUACAAAGGGCAGCGACACUGCGAGGUGAAGCCAAUCCCGUAAAAUCGGUCUCAGUCCGGAUUGGAGUCUGCAACUCGACUCCAUGAAGUUGGAAUCGCUAGUAAUCGUGGAUCAGCAUGCCACGGUGAAUACGUUCCCGGGCCUU
RNAcentral lists this ribosomal RNA (503 nucleotides) under uncultured Desulfobulbus sp. Its description in RNAcentral is "bacterial SSU rRNA". It matches the Rfam family "Bacterial small subunit ribosomal RNA", at positions 903 to 1382 of the family's 1533-position model. The record is from RNAcentral. Lineage: Bacteria; Pseudomonadati; Thermodesulfobacteriota; Desulfobulbia; Desulfobulbales; Desulfobulbaceae.